Phyllostomus hastatus (greater spear-nosed bat) is the source of this 391-nucleotide long non-coding RNA. RefSeq lists it as uncharacterized. The record is from RefSeq and is a predicted model, not a curated record. The transcript has 3 exons. NCBI's taxonomy places the organism in Eukaryota, Metazoa, Chordata, Mammalia, Chiroptera, Phyllostomidae.
AUAAAAGAAAAGAGAAAGGAAAUGCCCUGCCCUUUUGUGAAGUAUUACCAAUCUCCAGGUCGGACUAUGAGAAACAUGUCACCAGAUAAGGCUGACUGUUACUCCUGAAAACAAUGUGAGGAUGGAUGCGGGAACCAGGCAGCAAACAAGAGGCUCUGGAAGGAAGACACCACCAUCACGUUGAUGUUGAAAGCAAAAUAAACACAUCAUCAGGAUGGAAAGGCUGUUGUCAGGAAAAUUGGGAUGUACAUGUCUUUAUCAUCUUUAAUUAAACUAUGUCCAUCUGAACCAUGGUGUUCUUUUGCUAGCAUUAAACAGUGAAAUGAUGUUUGUUUCCCUCACCAGAAUUUUUGUUCAUUGAAUACUGCCUUAUAUUUUGUUAGUGACUAUU